RNAcentral lists this ribosomal RNA (484 nucleotides) under uncultured bacterium. Its description in RNAcentral is "partial 16S ribosomal RNA". It matches the Rfam family "Bacterial small subunit ribosomal RNA", at positions 29 to 507 of the family's 1533-position model. The record is from RNAcentral.
AUUGAACGCUGGCGGCAUGCUUUACACAUGCAAGUCGAACGGCAGCGCGGGCUUCGGCCUGGCGGCGAGUGGCGAACGGGUGAGUAAUACAUCGGAACGUGCCCAGUCGUGGGGGAUAGCUCGGCGAAAGCCGGAUUAAUACCGCAUACGACCUGAGGGUGAAAGCGGGGGAUCUUCGGACCUCGCGCUAUUGGAGCGGCCGAUGGCAGAUUAGCUAGUUGGUAGGGUAAAGGCCUACCAAGGCGACGAUCUGUAGCUGGUCUGAGAGGACGACCAGCCACACUGGGACUGAGACACGGCCCAGACUCCUACGGGAGGCAGCAGUGGGGAAUUUUGGACAAUGGGCGAAAGCCUGAUCCAGCAAUGCCGCGUGUGUGAUGAAGGCCUUCGGGUUGUAAAGCACUUUUGGCGGGAACGAAAAGGACUGUGCCAAUACCACGGUUCGAUGACGGUACCCGCAGAAUAAGCACCGGCUAACUACGUG